UCUGCAGGUGGUUUCUUAAGUCUACUGUUAAAUCUUGAGGCUCAACCUCAAAUCUGCAGUAGAAACUAGGAGACUUGAGUAUAGUAGGGGUAGAGGGAAUUUCCAGUGGAGCGGUGAAAUGCAUAGAUAUUGGAAAGAACACCGAUGGCGAAGGCACUCUACUGGGCUAUUACUGACACUCAGAGACGAAAGCUAGGGGAGCAAAUG
RNAcentral lists this ribosomal RNA (207 nucleotides) under uncultured bacterium. Its description in RNAcentral is "partial 16S ribosomal RNA". It matches the Rfam family "Bacterial small subunit ribosomal RNA", at positions 568 to 774 of the family's 1533-position model. The record is from RNAcentral.